This 2243-nucleotide long non-coding RNA is filed under the name Oncorhynchus kisutch (coho salmon). RNAcentral's name for it is "lncRNA (ENSOKIG00005009190.1)". Lineage: Eukaryota; Metazoa; Chordata; Actinopteri; Salmoniformes; Salmonidae. The record is from RNAcentral.
UGGGUGCAGGCCAAGGCCGGACUGUCUCCUGAACUCGCCGUUUAACAGAUCCGGAGAUUGGAGGGAUGAGAGAGUGGGCAGAAACGGUUAAGGUAGGGGAGGUUGGGGCAGAGCUGGUUAAGGUAGGAGAGGUUGGGGCAGGAAUUUUUAAGGUAGGGGAGGUUGGGGCAGGGCUGGUUUGUGAUGGCUGGGUGGACUGGGUUGUGAUUACCGGUAAUGGGGAAAAUAAGAAAUCAAAGUGUGGUGCAGUAGGUGAUAUUAAUGUGAGGGGACUGGACAUGGAGGCUGAUGGUGUUCCCAGAGGAAUGGUGGGGGAGGCACUGACAGUUCUUGAACUCACAGGCGUCUGGUGUUCUAGGGCGACUGACCCAGAGAGCUGCCGAAGCGCCUUCCCUUCCCCCAGGCGAUCCUUAUCCAUCUUGAGGCGCUCCCUCUCCACCUGCAGGCGCUCUGUCUCCACCCUCAAGCGCUCUCUAUCCAGCUGGAGCCGGUUCUUCUCCACAUCCAGGAUUUGUUGGAGCAGAUUGGCUUGGGGGCCCUGUGGUGUCCAGCCAGAUGUGAUGGGUUGGGGUGUAGAGUCAGAGUGGAUGGAAUGAGCUGGUGCAGGACAGGAGGUGAUGGGUUGGGGAGCAAAGCCAGAGUGGAUGGAAUGAGCUGGUGCAGGACAGGAGGUGAUGGGUUGGGGAGCAAAGCCAGAGUGGAUGGAGUGAGCUGGUGCAGGACAGGAGGUGAUGGGUUGGGGAGCAAAGCCAGAGUGGAUGGAGUGAGCUGGUGCAGGACAGGAGGUGAUGGGUUGGGGAGCAAAGCCAGAGUGGAUGGAGUGAGCUGGUGCAGGACAGGAGGUGAUGGGUUGGGGAGCAAAGCCAGAGUGGAUGGAGUGAGCGGGUGCAGGACAGGAGGUGAUGGGUUGGGGAGCAAAGCCAGAGUGGAUGGAAUGAGCUGGAGCAGGACAGGAGGUGAUGGGUUGGGGAGCAAUGCCAGAGAGUGCAUCUGCAUUGCUUGCUAUUUGAGAUUUUAGGCUGGGUAUCUGUAAAGCACUUUGUGACAACUGUUGAUGUAAAAAGGGCUUUAUAAAAUAAAUUUGAUUCAUUGAUUGAGAGUGGAUUGAGUGAGCUGGUGCAGGACGGGAGGUGAUGGGUUGGGGAGCAGAGCCAGAGUGAGCUGGUGCAGGACGGGAGGUGAUGGGUUGGGGUGGCACUGUUGGUGCUGGCCAAGGUGUUGAUGGUGAGGUGGAGGGUAGCUCCUCCAUGGUGACAGAGGGUAAAGCUGACUCCACAGUUCCCUCUGCUGUUGGUGGGGGACCAGAGCUGGAGAUUUCUCCCUGAGAGAGACCUGGACAAGACGAUUCGGUCAAUAUUAUUUCAGAUAUUUUAUAUUACUUAUCACUUCUUGUUGAAAUUAUUUAUUUGAAAUUGUCAUGUUUUCCGUUGGUAAACCAUUGUGACAUUAUGUUUUUUAAUCCAAAUAAAGAAUACACGUAAAUUAUUCCUGGAGUGUGUUCUGUCCUUUCCAUUCAUCAGGUACUCAUUUAAUACAGUCGUUAUGGAAUGUAAUAAAGGGUGUGUGGCUCAGUGAAAUGUAAACUUUGCCACAUAUAGGAGACUCAUGAGACCACACAAACACAUCUAAAGGGAUAAAAUAGUGAAGUUAUUAAUUACACUUUGGACGGUGUAUCAAUACACCCAGUCACUACAAAGAUACAGGCGUCCUUCCUAACUCAGUUGCCGGAGAGGAAGGAAACUGAUCAGGGAUUUCACCAUGAGGCCAAUGGUGACUUUAAAAGCAUUUAUGAGCGUGGUCAGCAGGUAAGCUAGCGGUUAAGAGCUUUGGGGCAGUAACUGAAAGGUUGCCGUUUUGAAUACCUGAGCCGAAUUGGUGAAAAAUCAGUUGAUGUGCCCUUGAGUAAGGCACUUGACACUAAUUGCUCAUGAGCCUCUGGAUAAGAGCAUUUUCUAAAUGACAACAUUUUUGUGAAAAUUAACUACAAAUUACCACCCUCUGCUGGUGAAUUGCUGUAUAUGUGUAAUAAUACCAUUAAUUACAUUGUCUAAUUAUGCCAGUUUCUAUGCAUUAAAUGGGUCGCAGACUUAAACUAGCAGAGUUCCCUCUUUGGAACUUUGAUGGAUCUCGUGCAGUAGGCCUACAUUCUACAUGGCCAUUAAACCCCAAUCAGAAGCAGUAGGCCUACAUUCUGUCAAUAUAUGUAGAGCAAAUCAACAUUAAACCCCAAUCAGAAGCAGGGU